Molecule: long non-coding RNA, 1266 nt
Filed under: Brassica napus (rape)
Lineage: Eukaryota; Viridiplantae; Streptophyta; Magnoliopsida; Brassicales; Brassicaceae
Description: long non-coding RNA (BNAP_LNC003183)
Source: RNAcentral
GAGUGGGUAGAAUAGUUAAAAAAAUUCAUUUGAUUAACAUUUCUUUAAGUUUACAAAAGAAUUCACAACUAAAUAGAGAACAUACAAAUCAUAAAACAGACCAUAAACAAAACUAUUACACAUGGAACUAGAUAUCAUUCCUCAACAUAGUAAGUUUGGUCUCCACUUGACACAUUCAUUUGUACCACUUUGGACAGAAGACUUUGGAAGACUUCCCGAAGAUUUCAUGGGAUGUCUUCUAGCAUAAAAUACAUUAGAAGAUUUCUCAAGAAGUCAGCCAAGAGUCUUCCAAGAGUUUCUGAGAGUCUUCCAAGAGUCUUAUAAGAAAUCUUCCAAAGUCUACCUCAUAUCUGAAAAAUCUGCAUAUUCAAAAGCAUUCAAAUGGCUUCAAACAGCUAAAUCUUCAAAAAUAAUUUUUUAUGUUUAAAUAAUAAAUAAAACAAUCAAAUUAGGUUAAAUCUAUAAUUUUUUAGAAUCUAAUAUAUAAAACACACAAUACAUAUCCAAAAUUUGUAUAAAUUUGAGCAGAAAACUUUGGAAGACUUCAUGAAGACUUCGUGGGACGGCUUCUAGCAUAAAAUCCAUUAGAAGACUUCCAAAGAAGUCUUCCAAGAGUCCUCUGAGAAAUCUUCCAAAGUGUGAUUUAAAUCUGAAAAUUUUACAUAUUCAAAAGCAUUCAAAUAGUUUCAAACAUGGAAAACUUCAAAAACAUUUUUUUAUGCUUAAUAAUAAACAAAAAAUUCAAAAAAAAAAACUCAACGACACAUACAUUGAGCCACCUAAACAAAUACAAACUACAUGACCAACUAUUUAACAAUUUAGAAACUUACUUUCGAUGCUUACGAAGAAGACGAAGACGACAACCAAGAUCAGUGAAAUUACCUAAACAAAAAGUAGAGUAAGUUACAAACUCUGAUAAAUACAACUAAUAAUGAUUUUUGUUUACAUAUUAUCCAUCAAAUAAAAUAGAAACAAAUACAACCACACCAGGAGAUACAAGAGACAAUCCCAACAGACACAAAACAACAACAACAUCUCCACCUCCUCAUUCCCUUUGUCUUAUGAAAAUAGCUUACAUGUUCAAUGUCAACAGGCCAAUGCUAUUGUUUUCUUAUGAGCAAUACAUAUAUUCGUUUAAAACCUAUUAAGUCCCAAAUACUAACUCAUUUUAUAAUUAUUUCUACAAGUCUUCAUUUGUUUUAAGGUUCGACAAAAGCAACAAGUUUAAAAAUAAAAUAAAAACAUAUAACCAACAUAAUAAGAAUA